UUAGCUGGUCUCCCUCCUCUCUUUUGUUACUUUUAUAAAUUAGAAUAGAUAAAUAAAACAAAAGAAAACAAAAAAGGAAUAACACUUACUGCAUGCUGGUCUCCCUCCUCUCUUUUGUUACCUUUAUUCAUUCUUUCAUUCAAAGAUAACAAGAAGAGAAAACCCUAGCUAGCCUCCACUGCCGCCAAACGGAGUGACCGGUUGCCGCCGUCCGUGGCUGUCCGAAGAGUUUCUCUUUGUACUGUCGGUGUUUUUCCAGGUCAGAUCCCCUAUUUGAUGUCUUCUUCAUCACUCGGCGCCCAUCCUCCGUCGGAUUCUUCCUGUUGCUCGCGGUCGUCUUGUCGCUGUCGUCUCGGCGUCAUUAUCUCAAAGAUUAUAGAGAAAAAAACCAAUAACUUGAAACACUUGCACACAAACAUGCCCAGUCCUAACAACAGCUUCCCGAUGGAUCCUUUCUUGGGUCCUUUCCCUGUUCUCAGAACCUUGGUUGUAACCAUG
Arachis ipaensis is the source of this 498-nucleotide non-coding RNA. The record is from RefSeq and is a predicted model, not a curated record. NCBI's taxonomy places the organism in Eukaryota, Viridiplantae, Streptophyta, Magnoliopsida, Fabales, Fabaceae.